UACGUAGGAGGCGAGCGUUGUCCGGAGUUACUGGGCGUAAAGGGUGCGCAGGCGGCCCGACAGGUGUGUGGUGAAAUCUCCCGGCUUACCUGGGAGGGGGCCACGCAAACCGUUGGGCUUGAGGCUCGGGGAGGGGCGUGGAAUUCCGGGUGGAGCGGUGAAAUGCGUAGAGAUCCGAUAGAAGACCGGUGGCGAAGGCGGCCUGCUGGGCAGUAACUGACACUGAGGCGCGACAGCGUGGGGAGCAAACAGG
RNAcentral lists this ribosomal RNA (253 nucleotides) under uncultured bacterium. Its description in RNAcentral is "partial 16S ribosomal RNA". It matches the Rfam family "Bacterial small subunit ribosomal RNA", at positions 524 to 776 of the family's 1533-position model. The record is from RNAcentral.